Molecule: ribosomal RNA, 391 nt
Filed under: uncultured bacterium
Lineage: Bacteria
Description: partial 16S ribosomal RNA
Rfam family: Bacterial small subunit ribosomal RNA
Source: RNAcentral
AUACGGAGGAUCCGAGCGUUAUCCGGAUUUAUUGGGUUUAAAGGGUGCGCAGGCGGCCAUUUAAGUCAGCGGUUAAAUCGUGGGGCUCAACCCCAUUCUGCCGUUGAUACUGGGUGGCUUGAUUGCGGUCGAGGUUGGCGGAAUUCGUUGUGUAGCGGUGAAAUGCAUAGAUAUGACGAAGAACACCGAUUGCGUAGGCAGCGGACCGGACCGCAAAUGACGCUCAUGCACGAAAGUGCGGGGAUCGAACAGGAUUAGAUACCCUGGUAGUCCGCACAGUAAACGAUGAAUACUUGUUUUCGGCGAUAUAAUGUCGGAGGCAAAGCGAAAGCGAUAAGUAUUCCACCUGGGGAGUACGCCGGCAACGGUGAAACUCAAAGGAAUUGACGGG